RNAcentral lists this non-coding RNA (211 nucleotides) under Fervidicella metallireducens. RNAcentral describes it as "T-box sequence". It matches the Rfam family "T-box leader". Rfam says of the family: Uncharged tRNA acts as the effector for transcription antitermination of genes in the T-box leader family. Lineage: Bacteria; Bacillati; Bacillota; Clostridia; Eubacteriales; Clostridiaceae. The record is from RNAcentral.
UUAAAUGCAAUGAGAGGAAGGAGUACAUCUUAAACUUACUUUAAGAGAGAAGGCGGUUGGUGCGAGCCUUUAGAAGUUGAGAUAGAAGCAGUCCUGGAGCAGUGCCGCUGAAAUAAGUAAGCGACAACGGUGGCAAACGUUAUCUGCCUUAAGAGACCUUGAUGAGAGGUAAUGUGGGUGGUACCGCGGAGAUUUGACCUUCGUCCCUUUU